GACGAACGCUGGCGGCGUGCUUAACACAUGCAAGUCGAACGGAAAGGCCCUGCUUUUGUGGGGUGCUCGAGUGGCGAACGGGUGAGUAACACGUGAGUAACCUGCCCUUGACUUUGGGAUAACUUCAGGAAACUGGGGCUAAUACCGGAUAGGAGCUCCUGCUUCAUGGUGGGGGUUGGAAAGUUUCGGCGGUUGGGGAUGGACUCGCGGCUUAUCAGCUUGUUGGUGGGGUAGUGGCUUACCAAGGCUUUGACGGGUAGCCGGCCUGAGAGGGUGACCGGCCACAUUGGGACUGAGAUACGGCCAAGAAUCCUACGGGAGGCAGCAGUGGGGAAUAUUGCAAAAUGGGCGGAAGCCUGAUGCAGCAACGCCGCGUGCGGGAUGACGGCCUUCGGGUUGUAAACCGCUUUCGCCUGUGACGAAGCGUGAGUGACGGUAAUGGGUAAAGAAGCACCGGCUAACUACGUG
RNAcentral lists this ribosomal RNA (468 nucleotides) under uncultured bacterium. Its description in RNAcentral is "partial 16S ribosomal RNA". It matches the Rfam family "Bacterial small subunit ribosomal RNA", at positions 28 to 507 of the family's 1533-position model. The record is from RNAcentral.